This 65-nucleotide transfer RNA is filed under the name Oecanthus rufescens. Its description in RNAcentral is "tRNA-Gly". The record is from RNAcentral. Lineage: Eukaryota; Metazoa; Arthropoda; Insecta; Orthoptera; Gryllidae.
AUUUACUUAAUAUAUAAUAGUAUAUUUGACUUCCAAUCAAAAAGAUUAAAAACUUAAAGUAAAUA